GUUUUUUAUAGGCUCUCGUGUGGGGCAGAAUCCCUCACAACUGUUUCAGCCAGCAUGGACUUUGUAUGUGGGAGCGCGAGCAUGUGUGUGUGCGUGUGUGUGUGUGUUUCAUAAGAGCCAGCAUCAGUCUGAGUUUUUAUACUUUGUAUUCUAUUUUCUACUUUCAUUUCGCACCAAAACAUACUGAAUGGCAAAGCUGAAUCUUCAGUAAAGGGUUUGACAAGUCUGAUGUUCAACACAAUAAUCUUGUAACGUGGCGAAAGAGGAUAUCGAAGCACUGAGCAGUUAUUAUUUUCGUUAAUUAUAUGAAUGUGGCCAAAGCUUCAUGCAGUUGAAAAAACACGAAAAACUUUAGUUGGUGCCCCUGAUGAGUGUAUAUUUAUUGUGGUUAAUCCAACAUGUGGCUGAGAUACAUCAACUCUCAUUGGGAUACUUGAUUUUAUUUUAAUUUUUUUUUUGGACAUUUUGCAAAGAGAGAACGAAAGCGACAGGUUUUGCUGUAGAGGUCAUCCUUUUGCCCACUGUGAAAAUAAACAUGUAUACAGAUAUAGAUAUAUUUAAAGAAGACAUCAACACUUUUCUUUGAAAUGACAAAGAAGGAAAUAAAGAGAAACGAACUCUGGGAAACUUGAGAGAUGUCAUUGAGAUGUCUGAGAAGGCUGUUGUUGACACACCAAAACUGGGCAUGGGAGCCAAAGGCAGGGCCGACGCGCCCCGAUAUCAAGUCAUUAUUUAACUAACACUAUAUGCCGACGGGAGUGGACUCUGCAACCAGUGGACAUACGUGACACGGAGAGGAAUUUAUCUCCUUUUUCUCUCUCUGGCUCUGCAUCUACUCGGACAUUUUCUGCACUUCUGAACGGGAUGGACACAAACACUCGCAUACGUUGUCUCCCAGUUCAUGGUGUUGCUACCUGUUUCAUUUCCUCCUGCCCGCUUCAGUGACUGACAUGUGGUUCCACUCUGGCGUGGAGUCGACCAGAUCCAUCCAACCAUAAAGAGUGACUUUACUGUUCAAGGGGAGGGGAUUUUCCUGGGUGUCAUUCCUGAGGAAGCAGAUAACCACAAAAAAAGCGAAUCAACCAAAAUUAAUAACCAAACUAACAAGCAACCAAACGAAAACAAAAAACAUUUGCUCCAGUUUCAACGAUGAACUGCUCCUGGAGCUUCCUGUUCUUUUAGUGGCUCCUGGUGCCACAGGAAUUUUGAUGCUUUUUGUGUUUCCUUUUUUUUAUUAUUUUUUCUCUUUCGUUCUCCUCAAAUUAUUCCUCCUCCUCCGAGCCUCACAAGCACGGCUCUGUGGCUCCAGGUAGCCCAUCCGAGGGUAGAACUUACAGCCUUGCAAUGUACAAAAAGAGCAAGUUAAACCAAAAAUGUUGUUCUUGAUGUCUUUUCUAUACUGUAGUCUUGUUAGCUUUUUGUUACUGUAAUUAUAUGAUGAAGAUUUCCAAACUGUACCAAAUUACAUGGAGACUAACAUACAUAAACCACAUGGAACUUCAGACUUUUAAAGAGAAACUUUUGUCACAAAAACCUUGUUGUCCUAGUUAAGUUGAUUGUAGAUGGUAAUUGAAUAUACUCCUUUGAAA
This is a long non-coding RNA of Cyprinus carpio carpio, 1589 nucleotides long. Lineage: Eukaryota; Metazoa; Chordata; Actinopteri; Cypriniformes; Cyprinidae. The record is from Ensembl.